ACUCAUUAGGCACCUGGUCCUUGUAGGGAGCUGAGGGAUGUCAGUUGAGAGAAGAAGAUCUAAGAGGGGUUCCUGUUAUUGGGAAGGACCUGGAGAAAGUAGCACUUUCCUGCAGAGAGAAAUACAAAGGGGGCAGGUCUCAGCCAUGGAAGACCUGGUAAGUGGCAGAUGGCCACCAGGAGGUACUGGAGCUGAGGAUAAGAGCAAUGUUAUGCCCUGAUACAUGGGGCUGUUUCAAAGGUUACUUUUGCACAUACUGCUAGCUCAGCAUCAGUGACUACUACUGAGAAGAUGGAACCAAGACUUGCCUACUCCCUGUGCCCCACCCGCUUACUCAGGCAAAUAGUUGUGGAUUUCUGUAGCAGAUCCUAGGCUGCAAACUGACUGACUCCUGGUCUGCUAUUUAACCCAAUUAAUUGAACAAAAUGGAUCCCUAUGAACACAAAAGUCAAGUGUCCAAAAGCAGGCACAACCAAAGGAUGACAAUGAAAAAACACUGGACUCACCUUGAAAACUAAGGGCUUGUUCCUAUGGAAAGCUGAAUCAACAGAGAGACUCCAAUGAGAGUUAAAUUAGGCCUCGAGAAUUUUGUUGAGAUUUCAGAGAAGCCUCCAUUGCAACAGAAGUCAAUAGGA
Molecule: long non-coding RNA, 635 nt
Organism: Mauremys reevesii (Reeves's turtle)
Lineage: Eukaryota; Metazoa; Chordata; Testudines; Geoemydidae
Exons: 4
Source: RefSeq, a predicted model, not a curated record